RNAcentral lists this unclassified non-coding RNA (435 nucleotides) under Hevea brasiliensis (rubber tree). The record is from RNAcentral. Lineage: Eukaryota; Viridiplantae; Streptophyta; Magnoliopsida; Malpighiales; Euphorbiaceae.
CCCGUACAUAUUAAAGGAUUCACUGGAAUCCAACAUUACAACAUAAGACUAGAAACCUAGCUUAAGAACAUUACCUAAAACUCAUAAGCCAAAUUAGAAACACGAGUUGAGUAACUAAAAUGGGCCCUAAGGACUUCCUAGCCCAUUAUCAGAGGGGAGGCCAGAGACCCAACAGAAAAUUAGAAACCCUAGCAUUACACACCCAUAUGGAAGACCAGUGGCAUUGAGAAGACUCCAAAGCAGAGUAUAUUCCAGGCAUCAUUCAGGCAUCAUUCAAAUCUUCAACCUACAAGUCCAACCGAGGAAGCUUAUGACAAAGUAAAGCUCAGAGGAAUAGAAUUCUGCUAUAGCCCACCAAGGAGAGAUUUCUCACAAAAAUUUCAUUCCCCAAUUGCUAAGCAAGCCUUAGGAACAACAAACAACCAAACUUUGCAC